Fukomys damarensis (Damara mole-rat) is the source of this 818-nucleotide long non-coding RNA. RefSeq lists it as uncharacterized. The record is from RefSeq and is a predicted model, not a curated record. NCBI's taxonomy places the organism in Eukaryota, Metazoa, Chordata, Mammalia, Rodentia, Bathyergidae. The transcript is spliced from 4 exons.
ACAAAACAAAAAAAAAACCCCAGAAUGUUUUGACUCCAAAACAUGCAGCAUUAGGUGCAGCUUCCCGUUGUCACACCUGCCUUACUCACUCCCUCGGGGCUGGCCUGAGAUGCCCAGCGGACAAAUAUUGCAGCACUUGGAAGCUGUGUGAUACCAUAACAACUUGUCCGCUCUUCUCCAUGCGCACAUCUUCUUAGACUCUUUGUCAUAAGGCAUUUUACUAUACGCGCUUAAAGACUGGGAUAGGUAAACCGCGUGGCAUGGUUGAGUGGAGGGAGUAAGCCUGGUGUCGCAGUGCCUUAGAACUGAAUGGAAAUAAUAAGUGGACUUAAAGUUGUUUUGCUGUUUCUCUAGCUUCUUCAUUCCUUCAGCGUUUAUUUAGGCACUUUUUAGACAUCACAGAUGCUCCCAGUAACACAGCUCUGUUGGUGACGUCUAGGAGCUGACGGGAAGACAGCCACAUAGAGAACAUGCAUAAUAUUUGUAUUGGAAUGUGCCCUGUGACUGCGUUUGUUGAAAAAGAUAAUAAAGAAGAGGAAACCUAACCAAUUACUGUGGAGAAAUAUGGAAGAAGAUGGAAAAAACUUGUUUAAUGGAUGCUGCCAGCUGCUGUGAUAGUGGGCUCGCCAUGGGGGAGCUUGUGCACUUGAGCAAGUCGAGAUGUGUGUCAGGUGCUACUUGGGAAUGCAGAGCAGGACUUGCAAAAAGGAUGCCUGAGAGAGAAGAUGCUGCAGUGUUGGGGCUUAUUAAUAUUACAUCCUCUUAGAGCCUUGAAUGUGCUCAGUUUCCAGUUGUGCAAGCAAGAAAGGGCUCUGAAA